CCUACGGGAGGCAGCAGUGGGGAAUUUUGGACAAUGGGGGGAACCCUGAUCCAGCCAUUCCGCGUGUGCGAUGAAGGCCUUCGGGUUGUAAAGCACUUUUGGCAGGAAAGAAAUCGCACGGAUUAAUACUUUGUGUGGAUGACGGUACCUGCAGAAUAAGCACCGGCUAACUACGUGCCAGCAGCCGCGGUAAUACGUAGGGUGCAAGCGUUAAUCGGAAUUACUGGGCGUAAAGCGUGCGCAGGCGGUUCGGAAAGAGAGGUGUGAAAUCCCAGGGCUUAACCUUGGAACUGCACUUUUAACUCCCGAGCUAGAGUAUGUCAGAGGGGGGUGGAAUUCCGCGUGUAGCAGUGAAAUGCGCAGAUAUGCGGAGGAACACCGAUGGCGAAGGCAGCCCCCUGGGAUGAUACUGACGCUCAUGCACGAAAGCGUGGGGAGCAAACAGGAUUAGAUACCCUGGUAGUCCACGCCCUAAACGAUGUCAACUAGCUGUUGGGGGCUUCGGCCCUUAGUAGCGCAGCUACGCGUGAGUGACCGCCGNGGGAGGUACGGUCGUCGAGAGUUAAACGUACGAAGAAGUAGAGGCGNGAGACGNGCGACGGACGACGACGAGGGAGGAGG
RNAcentral lists this ribosomal RNA (621 nucleotides) under uncultured bacterium. RNAcentral's name for it is "bacterial SSU rRNA". The stretch from base 1 to 539 matches the Rfam family "Bacterial small subunit ribosomal RNA", at positions 338 to 873 of the family's 1533-position model. The record is from RNAcentral.